UACAGAGGAUGCAAGCGUUAUCCGGAAUGAUUGGGCGUAAAGCGUCUGUAGGUGGCUUUUUAAGUCCGCCGUCAAAUCCCAGGGCUCAACUCUGGACAGGCGGUGGAAACUACCAAGCUGGAGUACGGUAGGGGCAGAGGGAAUUUCCGGUGGAGCGGUGAAAUGCGCAGAUAUCAGGAGGAACACCGGUGGCGAAGGCGGUUCUCUGGGCCUGUACUGACGCUGAGGAGCGAAAGCGUGGGGAGCGAACAGG
Molecule: ribosomal RNA, 253 nt
Filed under: uncultured bacterium
Lineage: Bacteria
Description: partial 16S ribosomal RNA
Rfam family: Bacterial small subunit ribosomal RNA
Source: RNAcentral